This 253-nucleotide ribosomal RNA is filed under the name uncultured bacterium. RNAcentral describes it as "partial 16S ribosomal RNA". It matches the Rfam family "Bacterial small subunit ribosomal RNA", at positions 524 to 776 of the family's 1533-position model. The record is from RNAcentral.
UACAGAGGGGGCAAGCGUUGUUCGGAAUUACUGGGCGUAAAGGGCGCGUAGGCGGCCUUCUAAGUCGAACGUGAAAUCCCCGGGCUCAACCCGGGAACUGCGUCCGAUACUGGAAGGCUUGAAUCCAGGAGAGGUGAGUGGAAUUCCGAGUGUAGAGGUGAAAUUCGUAGAUAUUCGGAAGAACACCAGUGGCGAAGGCGGCUCACUGGACUGGUAUUGACGCUGAGGUGCGAAAGCGUGGGGAGCAAACAGG